Ictalurus punctatus (channel catfish) is the source of this 2197-nucleotide long non-coding RNA. RefSeq lists it as uncharacterized. The transcript has 2 exons. The record is from RefSeq and is a predicted model, not a curated record. Lineage: Eukaryota; Metazoa; Chordata; Actinopteri; Siluriformes; Ictaluridae.
UCUGAAAGGCGGGAUCUGAAGGAGCGGGAUCUGAAGGAGCGGGAUCUGAAGGAGCGGGAUCUGAAAGGCAGGAUCUUAUGCAGCCGUUAAUUGAGGGCACUGUUUGAGCAGAGUGAGUCAGAGCUACACUACUGAAGAAAGUCCCUCUUGGCUCAGUGCAUGAACAGCUGUCCUGGUGUUAAUCUGCUGCCCUCAUGAGUGUGCGUUUUCACGAAUGGUGAAGCCAAGAAACUGUACUACGAACCUGACUAUUAAAGAAAUGGUCUGGUGUAAAAAAAAAACCCAUCAUAUUUACACAGUUAUCCCCCUUGCUCAAAUAUAAUCAAAUAUCAGUCAUGCCUAAUAUGCACCUAAAACCAAAUCCAGUUCAUAAGUGAUGUCAUGCAGACAAGCUAAUGGUACUGCUAAUUUACUGGCCUGGGGAGUAACAGAAUACAUGUAACCGUGUUACGUAAUCCGGAUACAAAAACAAACAAACAAACAAACAAACAAACAAACAAACUGGUAAAUAAUCCGUUAGCCUACAGUUAGGUCCAAAAACUAAGUAAAUUAGACUGCAGGUUUAUUGGGAUUACAUUUUUUUUUCAUUUAAAACCAAAGGAAUUAAACUUUUGCGGGGAUCCAGACUGUGGCUAAAACGGUCGACCGAAAAUAUUCAUUUGCGAGUGAUUUUUUUGCUGAGAUUGCCACUGGUGACGAUAUAAACUUACUCGUUUAGAUUUAAAAAUUUGCAUGUAAUGUCUUUUUAAUUGCGUGUUCUGUGAGGAGUGGCCCUUCACAUCAUUUGUUGUGUUGACGUAAUAAAAUGAGACGUUGGGAAAAAACCCCCAAAAAAGUGUUUCACAAUUCAAAUUCAUCCAGAGCGCCAAAAUACGCACAGGGAAAGAGAGGGUCAGCUUUCCGCCUCAGAAAGACUUGUCAAAACGAAAAAAUAUCAGACUUCUGAAACAAUCCCCAUCUCUGUCGAGCACCAACGCUGAUGGCACACCUGCUAAUCAAAAAGCAGGCUCCAGAUGUGCAGGCAUAUGAGAGAGAGAGAGAGAGAGAGAGAGAGAACGACGGAGACUCGGAUGAUCGUCUUUCCGUGUCAAUCAACGAAUGCCCAAGUAGAAGUGCAGAAAGGCAAUUUUAAGACUUCUUUUUUAUUCCAAAGAGGGCAGAGAGAAACAGCCGGGAGAACGGAUUUCAUUACUGGAACGAACCAUCUCAAGAAAGAGACAGUCAGUACGUUUACAUGGACAACAAUAAUGUGAUAUUAACCCAAUUAAGAUGAUACUCUGAUUAAGAAACUAGCAUGUAAACAGUGAUUACUGAUGACCUUAAUCCGAUUACAGUCAUACUCGAAGUAAACACAAAUGGAAUUAAGACGUGUGGAGUAUUCCUGUUUUAGUCGCGUUAUCGACACGUAUUACAGACGUGUAAACACCUUAAUCACACUAUUAACGUCGUGUGGGAGUUUUCACUGCAUUGUGCGACAGGACACAUUUCUUAAACUGUCUUAAUCGGGUUAAUAUCAGAUUAUUGUUGUCCAUGUAAACGUAAUGAAUGACAGAGACUCUGCAUGUGCUUUGAGCAGAAUGCAACUAGUUGAGAUAUCGCUUGUCCUACCAAUUUUGAACCCGAGUCCUACCAGAGUGAACAUGGCUUUUCAGCUCAAAAUGGGAUAAAAUCAAAAAAAGUACGCAAUGAAACCUUGGACAACUUGAUCGGGAUCAGAACAGAGGGCCCAUCACUUGAACAGUUUGAUCCGGAACCACGUGUCAAACGCUGGCUUUCUGCAAAACGGAGGAGGAGGAACAGCAGGAUGAGGAGGAGGCCAAACUACACUCAGUGGCCAAGUGAUGCUGACAUACAGUAAUAAAGGUCAGUGACACUGGCUCAGAUUCUGUGGAAAGAGCAAUUCUUUGCGACUGUAUAUAGUUCUCAAGUUGGAAAAGACGUUCAGUUCCCACAUUAAGUGAACUUGGAUGAAAAUGCUGACGCUGUAAAAGGCGGGACGUACACACAUCACAGGAUGACUGAAAGAGUCAACGGCUCAUUAAUAGAUUAAUUUCGUCUGGAGCCCUGCUUUUGACACGACACGAUAUAGACAGCUGCAUGAUUAUAGAUCUGGUUCACUCUUACCAGUUCAAAUCCAAACAUUGAACAUGUUUUUAAGCUCUAAAAUAAGCUCUAAAUAAAUGUAUCUUAGAUCAUA